Molecule: ribosomal RNA, 468 nt
Filed under: uncultured bacterium
Lineage: Bacteria
Description: partial 16S ribosomal RNA
Rfam family: Bacterial small subunit ribosomal RNA
Source: RNAcentral
GACGAACGCUGGCGGCGUGCUUAACACAUGCAAGUCGAACGGAAAGGCCCUGCUUUUGUGGGGUGCUCGAGUGGCGAACGGGUGAGUAACACGUGAGUAACCUGCCCUUGACUUUGGGAUAACUUCAGGGAACUGGGGCUAAUACCGGAUAGGAGCUCCUGCUGCAUGGUGGGGGUUGGAAAGUUUCGGCGGUUGGGGAUGGACUCGCGGCUUAUCAGCUUGUUGGUGGGGUAGUGGCUUACCAAGGCUUUGACGGGUAGCCGGCCUGAGAGGGUGACCGGCCACAUUGGGACUGAGAUACGGCCCAGACUCCUACGGGAGGCAGCAGUGGGGAAUAUUGCACAAUGGGCGGAAGCCUGAUGCAGCGACGCCGCGUGCGGGAUGACGGCCUUCGGGUUGUAAACCGCUUUCGCCUGUGACGAAGCGUGAGUGACGGUAAUGGGUAAAGAAGCACCGGCUAACUACGUG